This 350-nucleotide ribosomal RNA is filed under the name uncultured fungus. RNAcentral describes it as "SSU rRNA". It matches the Rfam family "Eukaryotic small subunit ribosomal RNA", at positions 1326 to 1698 of the family's 1831-position model. The record is from RNAcentral. Lineage: Eukaryota; Fungi.
CGAUAACGAACGAGACCUUAACCUGCUAAAUAGUUACGUCAUUUUCGAAUGACGGCGAACUUCUUAGAGGGACUAUCGGAUUUAAACCGAUGGAAGUUUGAGGCAAUAACAGGUCUGUGAUGCCCUUAGAUGUUCUGGGCCGCACGCGCGCUACACUGACGAAGUCAGCGAGUAUUCUCCUUCACCGGAAGGUGUGGGUAAUCUUGUGAAACUUCGUCGUGCUGGGGAUAGAUCAUUGCAAUUAUUGAUCUUCAACGAGGAAUUCUUAGUAAGCGUGAGUCAUCAGCUCGCGUUGAUUACGUCCCUGCCCUUUGUACACACCGCCCGUCGCUACUACCGAUUGAAUGGCU